This 253-nucleotide ribosomal RNA is filed under the name uncultured bacterium. RNAcentral's name for it is "partial 16S ribosomal RNA". It matches the Rfam family "Bacterial small subunit ribosomal RNA", at positions 524 to 776 of the family's 1533-position model. The record is from RNAcentral.
UACGGGGGGGGCAAGCGUUGUUCGGAAUUACUGGGCGUAAAGAGCUCGUAGGUGGUUUGUCGCGUUGUUCGUGAAAACUCACAGCUUAACUGUGGGCGUGCGGGCGAUACGGGCAGACUGGAGUACUGCAGGGGAGACUGGAAUUCCUGGUGUAGCGGUGGAAUGCGCAGAUAUCAGGAGGAACACCGGUGGCGAAGGCGACUCUUUGGCCUGUAACUGACGCUGAGGCGCGAAAGCGUGGGGAGCAAACAGG